CAUGCAGUCGAACGAUGAAGCCCAGCUUGCUGGGUGGAUUAGUGGCGAACGGGUGAGUAACACGUGAGCAACCUGCCCCUGACUCUGGGAUAAGCGCUGGAAACGGCGUCUAAUACUGGAUACGAACAAGAAUCGCAUGGUUACUUGUUGGAAAGAUUUUUCGGUUGGGGAUGGGCUCGCGGCCUAUCAGCUUGUUGGUGAGGUAAUGGCUCACCAAGGCGUCGACGGGUAGCCGGCCUGAGAGGGUGACCGGCCACACUGGGACUGAGACACGGCCCAGACUCCUACGGGAGGCAGCAGUGGGGAAUAUUGCACAAUGGGCGCAAGCCUGAUGCAGCAACGCCGCGUGAGGGAUGACGGCCUUCGGGUUGUAAACCUCUUUUAGCAGGGAAGAAGCGAGAGUGACGGUACCUGCAGAAAAAGCACCGGCUAACUACGUGCCAGCAGCCGCGGUAAUACGUAGGGUGCAAGCGUUAUCCGGAAUUAUUGGGCGUAAAGAGCUCGUAGGCGGUUUGUCGCGUCUGCUGUGAAAUCUGGGGGCUCAACCCCCAGCCUGCAGUGGGUACGGGCAGACUAGAGUGCGGUAGGGGAGAUUGGAAUUCCUGGUGUAGCGGUGGAAUGCGCAGAUAUCAGGAGGAACACCGAUGGCGAAGGCAGAUCUCUGGGCCGUAACUGACGCUGAGGAGCGAAAGGGUGGGGAGCAAACAGGCUUAGAUACCCUGGUAGUCCACCCCGUAAACGUUGGGAACUAGUUGUGGGGUCCAUUCCACGGAUUCCGUGACGCAGCUAACGCAUUAAGUUCCCCGCCUGGGGAGUACGGCCGCAAGGCUAAAACUCAAAGGAAUUGACGGGGACCCGCACAAGCGGCGGAGCAUGCGGAUUAAUUCGAUGCAACGCGAAGAACCUUACCAAGGCUUGACAUAUACGAGAACGGGCCAGAAAUGGUCAACUCUUUGGACACUCGUAAACAGGUGGUGCAUGGUUGUCGUCAGCUCGUGUCGUGAGAUGUUGGGUUAAGUCCCGCAACGAGCGCAACCCUCGUUCUAUGUUGCCAGCACGUAAUGGUGGGAACUCAUGGGAUACUGCCGGGGUCAACUCGGAGGAAGGUGGGGAUGACGUCAAAUCAUCAUGCCCCUUAUGUCUUGGGCUUCACGCAUGCUACAAUGGCCGGUACAAUGGGCUGCAAUACCGUGAGGUGGAGCGAAUCCCAAAAAGCCGGUCCCAGUUCGGAUUGAGGUCUGCAACUCGACCUCAUGAAGUCGGAGUCGCUAGUAAUCGCAGAUCAGCAACGCUGCGGUGAAUACGUUCCCGGGUCUUGUACACACCGCCCGUCAAGUCAUGAAAGUCGGUAACACCUGAAGCCGGUGGCCUAACCCCUUGUGGGAGGGAGC
Molecule: ribosomal RNA, 1391 nt
Filed under: Microbacterium shaanxiense
Lineage: Bacteria; Bacillati; Actinomycetota; Actinomycetes; Micrococcales; Microbacteriaceae
Description: 16S ribosomal RNA
Rfam family: Bacterial small subunit ribosomal RNA
Source: RNAcentral